Non-coding RNA from Potamilus streckersoni, 72 nucleotides. NCBI's taxonomy places the organism in Eukaryota, Metazoa, Mollusca, Bivalvia, Unionida, Unionidae. The record is from the annotation of a GenBank genome assembly.
GCUCCGGUGGCCUGGCGGUUAGAGCGUCCGUCUCAGAUGCGUGAGGACGUGGGUUCGAUCCCGGUCGAGUCA